This 1017-nucleotide long non-coding RNA is filed under the name Oryctolagus cuniculus (rabbit). Its description in RNAcentral is "lncRNA (ENSOCUG00000032984.1)". The record is from RNAcentral. Lineage: Eukaryota; Metazoa; Chordata; Mammalia; Lagomorpha; Leporidae.
CCCAGCCCCUCCCUCACUGCCGCCGCCUUUCCUGUAGCGCCCUCGAGCGGCCACCUGUGCUCCCCCGUGCACCUCGUCCUCCCCCGCCCACCCCGGCCCUCACCUGUGCUCCCCCGUGCACCGUCCUCCCCCGCCCACCCCUGCCCACCCCGGCCCUCACCUGUGCUCCCCCGUGCACCUCGUCCUCCCCCGUCCUCCCCUGCCCUCGCCUGUGCUCCCCCGUGCACCCCGUCCUCCCCUGUGCACCUCCGUCCUCCCCUGCCCUCGCCUGUGCUCCCCCGUGCACCCCGUCCUCCCCUGCCCUCACCUGUGCUCCCCCGUGCACCCCGUCCUCCCCUGCCCUCACCUGUGCUCCCCCGUGCACCCCGUCCUCCCCCGCCCACCCCGUCCUCCCCUGUGCACCUCCGUCCUCCCCUGUCCUCCUCUCUGCACCUCCAUGCACCCCGUUCUCUCCGAUGCUCACCCAGGAGCGCUAGGCGUCAGCAGGCCUGGGAGCCUGGACGACUGGCCCCUCGGUGUCCUCUCGGGCCUGUGGCCUGUGCCUCCCUGGCCAGGGACAGAAGCUCCCAAGUCGCGCCGGGAGAGCGCGGGCGCCUGCUGGCGCUCCUGGGGUGCCCGAGACGCUGCCCGCAGCAGGCGCCCUCCAGAGACUGCGGGUCGCGGAGUCGCGUUCGCCGCUGCGUUCCCAGCCUCCCUGUGAGCCCGGAGGAGACGCGGGCUCGACUGGGCUCGCUAAGCAGGGGCCGGGCCGCAGUCUUGGAUCCAGCGCGAGCCGGGGCCGCUGCGGGGUGGCCGAGCCUGGGAAAGCGGGCGCGCAUCAGCCGGGUCUCCCGAGGAGAAGCCGUGCUUCCGGUCACCACUCCACGCCGUCGGGGCUGGGAGGCCCCCGGGCCGCGGCCGAGGGCAGCGGCAAAGUCCGGAGGCCGCGGCAAGUCCACGGCCGUGCGCACAGCCCCGGGCCAGCCACGCCAGGCGAGAGACGGUGGAGCUGGCUCCCGGGAAUCCGAUUCGGUUUGA